AUGGGAAAAGUGGUCUUCGGGGCAUAUCACCUUCAAUGCAAGCUAUUUGUUUCAGAAGAAACUUUUGAUUGGCGUGUUUUAGCUCGUGGGAACACCCAACUCUUCUCUCUGGUGAACUGCACAUAG
This 126-nucleotide ribosomal RNA is filed under the name Triticum aestivum (bread wheat). RNAcentral describes it as "partial small subunit ribosomal RNA". The record is from RNAcentral. Lineage: Eukaryota; Viridiplantae; Streptophyta; Magnoliopsida; Poales; Poaceae.